This 433-nucleotide ribosomal RNA is filed under the name uncultured bacterium. RNAcentral describes it as "partial 16S ribosomal RNA". It matches the Rfam family "Bacterial small subunit ribosomal RNA", at positions 29 to 507 of the family's 1533-position model. The record is from RNAcentral.
AACGAACGCUGGCGGCAUGCCUAACACAUGCAAGUCGAACGAGACCUUCGGGUCUAGUGGCGCACGGGUGCGUAACGCGUGGGAACCUGCCCUUAGGUUCGGAAUAACUCCCCGAAAGGGGUGCUAAUACCGGAUAAUGUCUUCGGACCAAAGAUUUAUCGCCUUUGGAUGGGCCCGCGUUGGAUUAGCUAGUUGGUAGGGUAAAAGCCUACCAAGGCGACGAUCCAUAGCUGGUAUGAGAGGAUAAUCAGCCACACUGGGACUGAGACACGGCCCAGACUCCUACGGGAGGCAGCAGUGGGGAAUAUUGGACAGUGGGCGAAAGCCUGAUCCAGCAAUGCCGCGUGAGUGAUGAAGGCCUUAGGGUUGUAAAGCUCUUUUACCCGGGAUGAUAAUGACAGUACCGGGAGAAUAAGCUCCGGCUAACUCCGUG